GAUGAACGCUGGCGGCGUGCCUAAUACAUGCAAGUCGAGCGAACAGACGAGGAGCUUGCUCCUCUGACGUUAGCGGCGGACGGGUGAGUAACACGUGGAUAACCUACCUAUAAGACUGGGAUAACUUCGGGAAACCGGAGCUAAUACCGGAUAAUAUAUUGAACCGCAUGGUUCAUUAGUGAAAGACGGUUUUGCUGUGACUUAUAGAUGGAUCCGCGCCGCAUUAGCUAGUUGGUAAGGUAACGGCUUACCAAGGCAACGAUGCGUAGCCGACCUGAGAGGGUGAUCGGCCACACUGGAACUGAGACACGGUCCAGACUCCUACGGGAGGCAGCAGUAGGGAAUCUUCCGCAAUGGGCGAAAGCCUGACGGAGCAACGCCGCGUGAGUGAUGAAGGUCUUCGGAUCGUAAAGCUCUGUUAUUAGGGAAGAACAAAUGUGUAAGUAACUAUGCACGUCUUGACGGUACCUAAUCAGAAAGCCACGGCUAACUACGUG
This 497-nucleotide ribosomal RNA is filed under the name uncultured bacterium. Its description in RNAcentral is "partial 16S ribosomal RNA". It matches the Rfam family "Bacterial small subunit ribosomal RNA", at positions 28 to 507 of the family's 1533-position model. The record is from RNAcentral.